GAGUUUGAUCCUGGCUCAGGAUGAACGCUAGCGGCAGGCCUAAUACAUGCAAGUCGAACGGUAACAUUGGUGCUUGCACCAGAUGACGAGUGGCGCACGGGUGCGUAACGCGUAUGCAAUCUACCUUUUACUAGAGUAUAGCCCAGAGAAAUUUGGAUUAAUCCUCUAUAAUAUCUUUAAGUUUCAUGACUUUUAGAUUAAAGUUUUAACGGUAAAAGAUGAGCAUGCGUCCUAUUAGUUUGUAGGUGAGGUAACGGCUCACCUAGACUACGAUAGGUAGGGGCCCUGAGAGGGGGAUCCCCCACACUGGUACUGAGACACGGACCAGACUCCUACGGGAGGCAGCAGUAAGGAAUAUUGGACAAUGGAGGCAACUCUGAUCCAGCCAUGCCGCGUGCAGGAUGACGGCCCUAUGGGUUGUAAACUGCUUUUAUGUAGGAAGAAACACUCUCACGUGUGAGAGCUUGACGGUACUACAAGAAUAAGGACCGGCUAACUCCGUGCCAGCAGCCGCGGUAAUACGGAGGGUCCAAGCGUUAUCCGGAAUCAUUGGGUUUAAAGGGUCCGUAGGCGGGCUAUUAAGUCAGAGGUGAAAGUUUGCAGCUCAACUGUAAAAUUGCCUUUGAAACUGGUAGUCUUGAAUUAUUAUGAAGUGGUUAGAAUAAGUAGUGUAGCGGUGAAAUGCAUAGAUAUAACUUAGAAUACCAAUUGCGAAGGCAGAUCACUAAUAAUAUAUUGACGCUGAGGGACGAAAGCGUGGGGAGCGAACAGGAUUAGAUACCCUGGUAGUCCACGCCGUAAACGAUGGAUACUAGCUGUUCGGAUUUAUCUGAGUGGCUAAGCGAAAGUGAUAAGUAUCCCACCUGGGGAGUACGUUCGCAAGAAUGAAACUCAAAGGAAUUGACGGGGGCCCGCACAAGCGGUGGAGCAUGUGGUUUAAUUCGAUGAUACGCGAGGAACCUUACCAGGGCUUAAAUGUAGUCUGACAGGCGUGGAAACAUGCUUUUCUUCGGACAGAUUACAAGGUGCUGCAUGGUUGUCGUCAGCUCGUGCCGUGAGGUGUCAGGUUAAGUCCUAUAACGAGCGCAACCCCUGUUGUUAGUUGCCAGCGAGUCAUGUCGGGAACUCUAACAAGACUGCCAGUGCAAACUGUGAGGAAGGUGGGGAUGACGUCAAAUCAUCACGGCCCUUACGUCCUGGGCCACACACGUGCUACAAUGGUAGGUACAGAGAGCAGCCACCUGGUGACAGGGAGCGAAUCCUUAAACUCUAUCUCAGUUCGGAUCGAAGUCUGCAACUCGACUUCGUGAAGCUGGAAUCGCUAGUAAUCGCGCAUCAGCCAUGGCGCGGUGAAUACGUUCCCGGGCCUUGUACACACCGCCCGUCAAGCCAUGGAAGCUGGGGGCACCUGAAGUCGGUAACCGCAAGGAGCCGCCUAGGGUGAAACUGGUAACUAGGGCUAAGUCGUAACAAGGUAACC
Molecule: ribosomal RNA, 1480 nt
Filed under: uncultured marine bacterium
Lineage: Bacteria
Description: bacterial SSU rRNA
Rfam family: Bacterial small subunit ribosomal RNA
Source: RNAcentral